Molecule: long non-coding RNA, 1139 nt
Organism: Bactrocera neohumeralis
Lineage: Eukaryota; Metazoa; Arthropoda; Insecta; Diptera; Tephritidae
Exons: 2
Source: RefSeq, a predicted model, not a curated record
UCGUGCGAAGAUAUUCAAAUUUAAACGUUUCUUUGUGACAUUAAAUAGACGAAAUUUUUGUCGAGAGGCAAAUGUCAAACCGUGUCUUAAAAUUCUUUCGCAGAUUAAAUUUAAUGAUUAAAUUUUGAGAUGGAUUUUAUUGGUAGCCUACACUAAAAAUCUAAACAUUUUGCUUAAGUAACUUAAAUUAAACUCUACAAAUACAUCACUAUACUUAGAAGUUGGUAUCGGCUACAGUUUCGAUGAAUACUAAACGGAAAAGUUUGGUAAGAAAAGUUUUCUUCAAUGGCUGCUACUCUUCGACAGCCUAUAGGGUACCCUUGAUUCGAGAUUUGCACAGCAAUAAACCAAGCAUCAAAUUGCUUGUAUUCAUCACCUUCCACAACAGAAACAACAGUAAUACCAAUAACAAUAGCGUCACGAAGGCCAAACAUAUUAGCAUGGCUCUGUGGCCAACAUAUUGAACAGCGCAUUCAUCAUGCGUCGCUGCUGUGCCUGCUUCGAACAUUACCGGCAUCUUUGCUAACGGGAGGCCAGCCGAUCUAUUAUCAUUGAUUAAUACGUUUCGCCGUAGCGCCUCUUUUGUGCGCGCAACGACUGGCAGUGGACCAUUUAGCAGCAUACCAAUGCAACUCAAGGUAAUCCAGGCGAAGUGAGUGCAGCGCAAUGUGCAUUUGUGUGGGGGCGUGACUGUCGCAAACACUCUAUGUGGCGCAUAAACAAGGCGAUUCAAGGUGUUGCCCCUUGAGGGCAAUAGUACAGUCAAUUAGCAUUCAGUCCAGUGGCGAAUGCCGAGAUUGUCGAGUGCAGCUUAGUUAAUUUGCACCAAUGUAGGCAUAAUUGUCAAGCGCAAUUUACUUUGUUGUGACAAAUUUCAGGCAUUCGCCGUAAGUUACCGGAGCAAGGGUGUCAAGAGCAGAGCGCCCCAUUUGCAUGCCAACACUGGAGCAAAAUUUGCGUAUACGCAGACACACAUACAAACAUAUCACAAUGCUAUGGCGUUUGCUUUGGAAGCAAUAAUUGUUUUUGUGAGCGAAACUCCGUUAUUUAUUGUAUUUAUUGUUGUAUGUAAAUAUGUAAAUAGUAAAGAAAAGGGAAAAUUACCUUUUUAUUUGAAUAAAGCGCUCACCUUAAAAAUA